RNAcentral lists this ribosomal RNA (253 nucleotides) under uncultured bacterium. RNAcentral describes it as "partial 16S ribosomal RNA". It matches the Rfam family "Bacterial small subunit ribosomal RNA", at positions 524 to 776 of the family's 1533-position model. The record is from RNAcentral.
GACGUAGGGGGCAAGCGUUGUCCGGCAUUACUGGGCGUAAAGAGCUCGUGGGUGGUUUGUCGCGUUGUUCGUGAAAUCUCACGGCUUAACUGUGAGCGUGCGGGCGAUACGGGCAGACUAGAGUACUGCAGGGGAGACUGGAAUUCCUGGUGUAGCGGUGGAAUGCGCAGAUAUCAGGAGGAACACCGGUGGCGAAGGCGGGUCUCUGGGCAGUAACUGACGCUGAGGAGCGAAAGCGUGGGGAGCGAACAGG